RNAcentral lists this non-coding RNA (148 nucleotides) under Gorilla gorilla gorilla (western lowland gorilla). Lineage: Eukaryota; Metazoa; Chordata; Mammalia; Primates; Hominidae. The record is from Rfam by way of RNAcentral.
GCUGGGCACGGUGGCGGGUGCCUGUAAUCCCAGCUACUCGGGAGGCUGAGGCAGGAUGAUUGCUUGAACCCGGGAGGCAGAGGUUGCAGUGAGCCAAGAUUGUGCCACUGCACUCCAGCCUGGGCGACAGAGUGAGACUCUGUCUCAA